UACAGAGGUCCCAAGCGUUGUUCGGAUUCAUUGGGCGUAAAGGGUGCGUAGGCGGCGCGGUAAGUCGGGUGUGAAAUCUCGGAGCUUAACUCCGAAACUGCAUUCGAUACUGCCGUGCUUGAGGACUGGAGAGGAGACUGGAAUCUACGGUGUAGCGGUGAAAUGCGUAGAUAUCGUAAGGAAGACCAGUGGCGAAGGCGGGUCUCUGGACAGUUCCUGACGCUGAGGCACGAAGGCUAGGGGAGCAAACGGG
RNAcentral lists this ribosomal RNA (253 nucleotides) under uncultured bacterium. RNAcentral's name for it is "partial 16S ribosomal RNA". It matches the Rfam family "Bacterial small subunit ribosomal RNA", at positions 524 to 776 of the family's 1533-position model. The record is from RNAcentral.